GAAUAAGCAGCAGGAGCUACUAAGCAUGGGUCAGGCUGGCAGAAUCUAGGUGGUUUACAGCUGACUUACUACAGAUGAAGUGUCAGGGAAGAAAAUGUGCAGGUAUUUGCUGUGGCCAAGUCUGCUCUAUCGUCAACACAAGAUGAGGAAGCCAUGCGGUUCCAGGCCUGAGACGGGAAAGAGGAGGAUCCUGCUGCAGCUGGCUCCCAGGCAUGGAGGUGUGGGUUGAAGAACCUUGGAGCUGCGGGAGGAUCAGAGUGAGUCUCCUGACUGUACUGCCAUGUUGUUGUGCACUUCAGGUCCUUUACAUCAGAGAAGUCAAUUGAGAGGAUGCCUUUAUUCCUGUGGCUCCAGG
Molecule: long non-coding RNA, 355 nt
Organism: Mauremys reevesii (Reeves's turtle)
Lineage: Eukaryota; Metazoa; Chordata; Testudines; Geoemydidae
Exons: 4
Source: RefSeq, a predicted model, not a curated record